RNAcentral lists this ribosomal RNA (253 nucleotides) under uncultured bacterium. Its description in RNAcentral is "partial 16S ribosomal RNA". It matches the Rfam family "Bacterial small subunit ribosomal RNA", at positions 524 to 776 of the family's 1533-position model. The record is from RNAcentral.
CACGUAGGGGGCAAGCGUUGUCCGGAAUCAUUGGGCGUAAAGCGCGUGUAGGCGGUUCGGUAAGUCGGCUGUGAAAGUCAAGGGCUCAACCCUUGAAAGCCGGUUGAUACUGUCGGGCUAGAGUCCGGAAGAGGCGAGUGGAAUUCCCGGUGUAGCGGUGAAAUGCGCAGAUAUCGGGAGGAACACCAAUGGCGAAGGCAGCUCGCUGGGACGGUACUGACGCUGAGACGCGAAAGCGUGGGGAGCAAACAGG